This 765-nucleotide ribosomal RNA is filed under the name uncultured Paracoccaceae bacterium. Its description in RNAcentral is "bacterial SSU rRNA". It matches the Rfam family "Bacterial small subunit ribosomal RNA", at positions 86 to 887 of the family's 1533-position model. Lineage: Bacteria; Pseudomonadati; Pseudomonadota; Alphaproteobacteria; Rhodobacterales; Paracoccaceae. The record is from RNAcentral.
UUCGGGCGAGCGGCGGACGGGUUAGUAACGCGUGGGAACGUGCCCAGAUCUACGGAAUAGCCACUGGAAACGGUGAGUAAUACCGUAUACGCCCUUAGGGGGAAAGAUUUAUCGGAUUUGGAUCGGCCCGCGUUAGAUUAGGUAGUUGGUGGGGUAACGGCCUACCAAGCCUACGAUCUAUAGCUGGUUUUAGAGGAUGAUCAGCAACACUGGGACUGAGACACGGCCCAGACUCCUACGGGAGGCAGCAGUGGGGAAUCUUGGACAAUGGGGGCAACCCUGAUCCAGCCAUGCCGCGUGAGUGAAGAAGGCCCUAGGGUCGUAAAACUCUUUCGCCUGUGAUGAUAAUGACAGUAGCAGGUAAAGAAACCCCGGCUAACUCCGUGCCAGCAGCCGCGGUAAUACGGAGGGGGUUAGCGUUGUUCGGAAUUACUGGGCGUAAAGCGCACGUAGGCGGAUUAGAAAGUUAGAGGUGAAAUCCCGGGGCUCAACCCCGGAACUGCCUUUAAAACUACUAGUCUAGAGUUCGAGAGAGGUGAGUGGAAUUCCGAGUGUAGAGGUGAAAUUCGUAGAUAUUCGGAGGAACACCAGUGGCGAAGGCGGCUCACUGGCUCGAUACUGACGCUGAGGUGCGAAAGUGUGGGGAGCAAACAGGAUUAGAUACCCUGGUAGUCCACACCGUAAACGAUGAAUGCCAGUCGUCGGGUAGUAUACUAUUCGGUGACACACCUAACGGAUUAAGCAUUCCGCCUGGGGAGUACGGUC